This 484-nucleotide ribosomal RNA is filed under the name Alexandrium margalefii. RNAcentral describes it as "partial Bacterial small subunit ribosomal RNA". It matches the Rfam family "Bacterial small subunit ribosomal RNA", at positions 472 to 954 of the family's 1533-position model. Lineage: Eukaryota; Dinophyceae; Gonyaulacales; Pyrocystaceae. The record is from RNAcentral.
ACUUAACCUGGAGAGGAAGCAGUGGCUAACUCCGUGCCAGCAGCCGCGGUAAUACGGAGACUGCAAGCGUUAUUCGGAUUCACUGGGCGUAAAGGGUGCGCAGGCGGUUAUGUGUGUCAGGUGUGAAAUCUCGGAGCUCAACUCCGAAACUGCGCCUGAAACUACAUGACUAGAGUAUCGGAGAGGUGAGCGGAAUUCAUGGUGUAGCAGUGAAAUGCGUAGAUAUCAUGAGGAACACCAGAGGCGAAGGCGGCUCACUGGACGAUUACUGACGCUCAGGCACGAAAGCAUGGGUAGCGAAAGGGAUUAGAUACCCCUGUAGUCCAUGCCGUAAACGUUGUAUACUAGGUCUUGGAGGAUUCGACCCCUUCAGGGCCCAAGCUAACGCGAUAAGUAUACCGCCUGAGGACUACGGCCGCAAGGCUAAAACUCAAAGGAAUUGACGGGGGCCCGCACAAGCGGUGGAGCAUGUGGCUUAAUUCGA